UCGGGAAUUUUGGGCAAUGGGCGAAAGCCUGACCCAGCAACGCCGCGUGAAGGAUGAAGUAUUUCGGUAUGUAAACUUCGAAAGAAUAGGAAGAAUAAAUGACGGUACUAUUUAUAAGGUCCGGCUAACUACGUGCCAGCAGCCGCGGUAAUACGUAGGGUGCAAGCGUUAAUCGGAAUUACUGGGCGUAAAGCGUGCGCAGGCGGUUGUGUAAGUCAGAUGUGAAAUCCCCGGGCUCAACCUGGGAAUUGCAUUUGAGACUGCAUGGCUAGAGUGUGUCAGAGGGGGGUAGAAUUCCACGUGUAGCAGUGAAAUGCGUAGAUAUGUGGAGGAAUACCGAUGGCGAAGGCAGCCCCCUGGGAUAACACUGACGCUCAUGCACGAAAGCGUGGGGAGCAAACAGGAUUAGAUACCCUAGUAGUCCCUGAGCGGGCUGGCA
This 439-nucleotide ribosomal RNA is filed under the name uncultured bacterium. RNAcentral's name for it is "bacterial SSU rRNA". It matches the Rfam family "Bacterial small subunit ribosomal RNA", at positions 355 to 814 of the family's 1533-position model. The record is from RNAcentral.